Long non-coding RNA from Cuculus canorus (common cuckoo), 1350 nucleotides. RefSeq lists it as uncharacterized. The transcript has 3 exons. The record is from RefSeq and is a predicted model, not a curated record. NCBI's taxonomy places the organism in Eukaryota, Metazoa, Chordata, Aves, Cuculiformes, Cuculidae.
UUAAAUAACAUAACUGUUUCCUGUUGUUAGGAGCUGCUGCACCAAUUUAGCCCUUAAUUAAAAUUCUAGCGCAGAUUUCGGCAGCUGGAAAUAGAACAGUGCCAUUAGGAAUGCUCCAAAUAUAGCUCAAGCUUUUCUUCCACGCUACCCUUAGCAUCUACUUGGAAACGGCCUCAUCUUUUCACUUGUGUCUUGAUACUCGGAAAAAUGAGCAGCCCAGAAUAUAAUUGAUUUGGAGCCAUGGCACCAAGAUAGCUGAUGCCAGCUGUACACCAACCAGCUGAAGAGAGGGGCCAUAUCACACACAGUUCCUUUGCUGGAAGCAGAAUUCAGGUCAACCCACAAAAUAUUAAGCAAAUCAUCCUUCCCUUGUUCCUGCCACUAGAAAAGAAACCAGACCUGAAAAGACAAGGAUUUUUUUCCUUAAAAACAAAGAGUAAAUUCAUACUCUUCUUUUUUCUGUGGUUUGGGUUUUUUUUUAGUUAAAGUCUGAGUUUUUUUUUUUUUUUUGCAGGGAGAAGGAGUGAAGUUUCUCAGAGGAAGCUAAAGGAAAUCCACAUAGAAUCUAAUCACUUAUUUUUAAUCACCAUUUAUAACCUAUGCAGUAAAGGAUAUGUCGUCAAACAAGACCCCACUCUCCCUUGCUUAAAUUAGUACCUGAAGGCGGCCUGCAAACUCUACAGAAACGCCGACUUUGCCAUCUGGUGGACAUCCACAGGAACAGCAAGUAGCCUUCGACCUGGGGAGGCAGACCUUACCAUCUUUGAAAUAUCCAAAAUUGGACACAGCACCUCAGCUCGGGCACGGACAGCUCCAAGGACAGCUGAAGAAUUACUGAAUGUUCUGUAGGUGAUAACACUGGCUAUAAAUUGCAGUAAGGGUUUGCCUAUUUUACAGCAGCAUAACAUUGUUUACUCCUGUUCAGCCUAUGAUCUAUGUUAACAUCCAAAUCUUUUUCUGCUGUGCUGUUACUUAUCUUGUCCUUCCUUGCCUUAUGUUUUUUCAGUUCAUUAUUCUUGCCUAAGUGUGGUGACCUGUUUGUUUUACUUAUUUGCAUCCUCUCAGCUCCUCCUGAAGUUGUUCUACAAUGUAUACCUGUUAUGUUUGAUGGGUAAAAAUGCCUACUCACAGUAAUUGUAACUAAAUCAACAUGUUUGUUUAUUUAAAAAGAAGCUGCUCUCUUCUCUAGAGGGAAGUCUAGCCAGUGAAAUCUUCACGUCUUUUUAUUGAAUCAGAUUAUCCUUUUUUAUCUAGAUUAUUUUUCAAAUACGAGAAUUCCCUGCUGCCUCAUAUUUAAAAAGACAGAAUUCAGAAAUCAUUAUUUGAAAAUAAGUACUAAGACAACUUAGA